UCGAGCGGUAACAGGAGAAAGCUUGCUUUCUUGCUGACGAGCGGCGGACGGGUGAGUAAUGUAUGGGGAUCUGCCCGAUAGAGGGGGAUAACUACUGGAAACGGUGGCUAAUACCGCAUAAUGUCUACGGACCAAAGCAGGGGCUCUUCGGACCUUGCACUAUCGGAUGAACCCAUAUGGGAUUAGCUAGUAGGUGGGGUAAAGGCUCACCUAGGCGACGAUCUCUAGCUGGUCUGAGAGGAUGAUCAGCCACACUGGGACUGAGACACGGCCCAGACUCCUACGGGAGGCAGCAGUGGGGAAUAUUGCACAAUGGGCGCAAGCCUGAUGCAGCCAUGCCGCGUGUAUGAAGAAGGCCUUAGGGUUGUAAAGUACUUUCAGCGGGGAGGAA
RNAcentral lists this ribosomal RNA (391 nucleotides) under Proteus mirabilis. Its description in RNAcentral is "bacterial SSU rRNA". It matches the Rfam family "Bacterial small subunit ribosomal RNA", at positions 62 to 449 of the family's 1533-position model. Lineage: Bacteria; Pseudomonadati; Pseudomonadota; Gammaproteobacteria; Enterobacterales; Morganellaceae. The record is from RNAcentral.